Molecule: ribosomal RNA, 465 nt
Filed under: uncultured bacterium
Lineage: Bacteria
Description: partial 16S ribosomal RNA
Rfam family: Bacterial small subunit ribosomal RNA
Source: RNAcentral
GACGAACGCUGGCGGCGUGCUUAACACAUGCAAGUCGUACGGUAAGGCCCUUUCGGGGGUACACGAGUGGCGAACGGGUGAGUAACACGUGAUUAACCUGCCCACAACUUUGGGAUAACGCUAGGAAACUGGUGCUAAUACUGGAUAUGUGCUCCUGCUGCAUGGUGGGGGUUGGAAAGCUCCGGCGGUUGUGGAUGGACUCGCGGCCUAUCAGCUUGUUGGUGGGGUAGUGGCCUACCAAGGCGGCGACGGGUAGCCGGCCUGAGAGGGUGACCGGCCACAUUGGGACUGAGAUACGGCCCAGACUCCUACGGGAGGCAGCAGUGGGGAAUAUUGCACAAUGGGCGCAAGCCUGAUGCAGCAACGCCGCGUGCGGGAUGACGGCCUUCGGGUUGUAAACCGCUUUCAGCAGGGACGAAGCUUUUUGUGACGGUACCUGCAGAAGAAGCACCGGCUAACUACGUG